GUAAAUUAAAAAAAAAAAAAAAGAAAGAAAAAUAGAAUUCUUUUCAAUUUUGAAAAGUGGGGAAUUUAUAUCCGCUGGUGCAUAGACGUAUAAAUAGGGUUUCUUCGCUGAAUUUUUUCACAGAGUUUCGGGCACUCUCAAAGUGUACUCGCGAGUAGUAGAGUAUCGGAAUAAAAUUUGAAAAGUAGAAAGAAAGGGUAAAUCGAUUCAUCGAUAAAAUGGGGAUAUACAACAAACUUGCAAUUUUGACCUUCGUAGUUAUGGCCGCUGCAGCACCGGCUGCUUUAAGCUCUAUUUUGCAAAUUGAAAUUUCUCUCCUAGGACAGAAACUAGUAGAGUUGAAACUUCCGUGAGUCACUCGAAUUCCAGUUUGACUCGUCGCACUUCGGUCCUUCGCAAUCGGUCUCUGAGAUGGGGGCGUUUAUGGAAAAUCGAAGAUGUGUAAAAAAAUAGGUAUAACAAAAAAAUUUUCAACGAAAAAUAAAGCAAAAACAAAAUUAUUGUAAAACAAUUACUUCACGAAUAAAACGAUGUCCUCAAUUUUACUGGAAUCACUUUUUUUUGUCUUUAUCCGAUAUCCGCUCGAUCGAUUCAUUUGAGGCUAAACAAAGGAAGAGUUUUCGAUUUUUUUCCCGUAAAAAAUGCAAAAGAAACAUCUUAUAACUUUGAUGUUGAAU
RNAcentral lists this unclassified non-coding RNA (677 nucleotides) under Athalia rosae (coleseed sawfly). RNAcentral describes it as "misc RNA ENSAEAG00005005863.1". The record is from RNAcentral. Lineage: Eukaryota; Metazoa; Arthropoda; Insecta; Hymenoptera; Athaliidae.